UCCUGGUAUUUGAGUACCGCUUGUUGAUGAUGCUGCGGUAAAAAUCUUUGGCAUAAUUACUGGAGACUCAGAUGGUUCCUUUGUAUCCAUUUCCAGAGGGUCCUACAAAACAGUGCUGCCUGUUGUCUACCCAAAUAUACAGUCUUGGACACAGCACACAUGAACAUUCUUGGGCAAUGACCCAGAUCGGCAACAACCUAAACAGGAACACAGAGCUGGAGACGAGCCUUCUUGAGGACAUCGGGCUAGUGCCUUUGACUGGCUGUGACGUCCUACAUGCAUCGACGAAGUUGCCACACAUUCCCUUCCUUCCUUUCCUCCUCUCUCUCUUACAUCUUCUGUUUAACCUCCCUGCCUGACUGUUUCCUUCCUUCCACGAAGCACCAAGUUUUUUAAAAGCACACGUGUACCAUUUUA
Long non-coding RNA from Rhipicephalus sanguineus (brown dog tick), 417 nucleotides. RefSeq lists it as uncharacterized. The record is from RefSeq and is a predicted model, not a curated record. The transcript has 3 exons. Lineage: Eukaryota; Metazoa; Arthropoda; Arachnida; Ixodida; Ixodidae.